This 506-nucleotide ribosomal RNA is filed under the name uncultured bacterium. RNAcentral describes it as "partial 16S ribosomal RNA". It matches the Rfam family "Bacterial small subunit ribosomal RNA", at positions 30 to 523 of the family's 1533-position model. The record is from RNAcentral.
AUUGAACGCUGGCGGUAUGCUUAACACAUGCAAGUCGAACGGCAGCACGGUCUAGCCUGCUAGAUGGGUGGCGAGUGGCGAACGGGUGAGUAACGCGUAGGAAUAUACCUUAAAGAGAGGGAUAACUUGGGGAAACUCAAGCUAAUACCGCAUAAUGUCUGAGGGCAAAAGCUGGGGACCUUCGGGCCUGGCGCUUUGAGAUUAGCCUGCGUACGAUUAGCUAGUUGGUGGGGUAAGGGCCUACCAAGGCGACGAUCGUUAGCUGGUCUGAGAGGAUGACCAGCCACACUGGAACUGAGACACGGUCCAGACUCCUACGGGAGGCAGCAGUGGGGAAUAUUGGACAAUGGGGGCAACCCUGAUCCAGCAAUACCGCGUGUGUGAAGAAGGCCUGAGGGUUGUAAAGCACUUUCAGUGGGGAGGAGGUUGAUUAGGUUAAGAGCUAGAUUAAUGGACGUUACCCACAGAAGAAGCACCGGCUAACUCCGUGCCAGCCGCCGCAGUAA